CCCGCACAAGCGGUGGAGCAUGUGGUUUAAUUCGAAGCAACGCGAAGAACCUUACCAGGUCUUGACAUCCCCUGACAACCCGAGAGAUCGGGCGUUCCCCUUCGGGGGACAGGGUGACAGGUGGUGCAUGGUUGUCGUCAGCUCGUGUCGUGAGAUGUUGGGUUAAGUCCCGCAACGAGCGCAACCCUCGACCUUAGUUGCCAGCAUUCAGUUGGGCACUCUAAGGUGACUGCCGGCUAAAAGUCGGAGGAAGGUGGGGAUGACGUCAAAUCAUCAUGCCCCUUAUGACCUGGGCUACACACGUGCUACAAUGGUUGGUACAACGAGUUGCGAGUCGGUGACGGCGAGCUAAUCUCUUAAAGCCAAUCUCAGUUCGGAUUGUAAGCUGCAACUCGCCUACAUGAAGUCGGAAUCGCUAGUAAUCGCGGAUCAGCACGCCGCGGUGAAUACGUUCCCGGGCCUU
Molecule: ribosomal RNA, 463 nt
Filed under: uncultured Anoxybacillus sp.
Lineage: Bacteria; Bacillati; Bacillota; Bacilli; Caryophanales; Anoxybacillaceae
Description: bacterial SSU rRNA
Rfam family: Bacterial small subunit ribosomal RNA
Source: RNAcentral